RNAcentral lists this long non-coding RNA (246 nucleotides) under Olea europaea (common olive). RNAcentral describes it as "long non-coding RNA (OEUR_LNC004660)". Lineage: Eukaryota; Viridiplantae; Streptophyta; Magnoliopsida; Lamiales; Oleaceae. The record is from RNAcentral.
GAGACUCUCCAACUGGUUAAUUUUAAUAAUGGCCGUUUGAGACCAAAUGGAACCCCAAAAUAUUAUGAAAUCAUUUAAUUUAAGUUUGGACUGUUUUAAUUGCUUCAAUGAUUUAAUUUGAAACUAAGUUUAGGACUCCAUGGGCCUUUAGGCUGCUAGGCGGCAAUAGGAGACAUUGGACUGCUCUACCCUAGGUUUGCAAGGAGCGACCACCGGGAAUGGGGAACGUGAUGAGUUUAGUAGGAU